UGGGUAACCUGCCUCAAAGAGGGGAAUAGCCUCCCGAAAGGGAGAUUAAUACCGCAUAAUAUGUUUAAGUCGCAUGACUUUAACAUCAAAAGGAUUUUUCUUUUAAGAAAUUCCACUUUGAGAUGGACCCGCGGCGCAUUAGCUAGUUGGUGAGGUAACGGCUCACCAAGGCAACGAUGCGUAGCCGACCUGAGAGGGUNAUCGGCCACAUUGGGAAACUGGAGACCACGGUCCAGACCUCCGUAAGGGCGG
Molecule: ribosomal RNA, 252 nt
Filed under: uncultured bacterium
Lineage: Bacteria
Description: partial 16S ribosomal RNA
Rfam family: Bacterial small subunit ribosomal RNA
Source: RNAcentral